GAAAGAAACAGAAUCUUUGCAAAAACCAAAGCCAAAAACCUCGUGCUCAACAAAGGAAAACAUCCUCUGCCUCAUUUUCUCUCUGUUUCCAUGGCCUGGUUGCAGUUGCUAAAAAAUUGGACUGAUUAUGGAUGCCGACCACCUGCACAACUGAGAAAACUGCUGAUCGACUCAGAGAGAUCUCCCAAAGGCUGAGAUGUUCCUGUUUGGUUGGAAUGUGGAGACCGGGAAUUCGCUAAGAGGCAAGCUCACAGAGGUUACAGCCAUAGAGCACUCGCUGCCUGCUACCUUCCAGGGCUGGAUUCUGCUCAUAUCCAUCAGCUAUA
Molecule: long non-coding RNA, 326 nt
Organism: Zalophus californianus (California sea lion)
Lineage: Eukaryota; Metazoa; Chordata; Mammalia; Carnivora; Otariidae
Exons: 3
Source: RefSeq, a predicted model, not a curated record